This 836-nucleotide non-coding RNA is filed under the name Pan troglodytes (chimpanzee). Lineage: Eukaryota; Metazoa; Chordata; Mammalia; Primates; Hominidae. The record is from RNAcentral.
AAAACUGAGGAAGAAAACUGACAAGGUUUUCAAGGGAAUUUCCAGGUCACCCAGAGAACUCGCCUGGCCUUGUUCUACUUCCUACAAGUCUCUAAGCACUUCAUGCUUUACUGGAAUCUUGUAAAUACAAAAAAAAAAAAAAAAAAAAAAAAAAAAGACACACAACAAGUCAACAAUGUAACAAUGUUUGGCAUCACUAAAAAGAUGGUACUUUGGUGAAAGGUAGAAAUUGGAAAAAUAAAGCUCAGGACAACCUUCAAGUUUUUCUCUAUUCAUGCUACCCUCUUUUUUUGGUAACCACAGUUAAUUAAGAGUUAUAAGCAUAAAACAGUGUUUCUUUCAAGUGGCAUGCUUAUGUGGGGGAAGAAAAGAUGAAAGGGAGGCAGCUCAGUGGAGAAGGAGCAUAUUGCUAAUCAAAAAUGAAAUUUCUCCAUCAGGCUGAGAAUCUAUGAUGGCCAGUGAGCUGGUAUGAUUCAUACGAAGUUCCAUGUCUCACUUAUCUCUCCAAAUCAUGCAAACUAACUAGAAAGAUGAACAGUGUCCCUUGAAAUGCACAAGGCUUCCUCUCUCCAGAGGGUGAAACACUCACCUAGUGUGUCCUUCAGGUUCUUCACGAGGGAGCCCUUCUUCAGGCUGUUCUUCCGCUCCACGUAGUUGGACGGCACAUAGCCCGUCCUGUUGGCCGCGUUCCUCACCCGCCACCACGUCUUGGAGUCGUCCAGCAACCACAGCCGCUCGUUCUUCUUGAUGUCCAGCUCCUGGUCCUGCUGGGCGGUGUAGUCCCACUUGGCUAUCACAAUAACUUCUUCUGUCAUCUUUCAUGGAGUCCUUCUGCC